UACGUAGGUGGCGAGCGUUGUCCGGAUUUACUGGGCGUAAAGAGCGCGCAGGCGGCUGGUCAAGUCCGAUGUGAAAGCUCCCGGCUUAACUGGGAAAUUGCAUCGGAAACUGAUCGGCUGGAAGGUGGGAGAGGGUAGCGGAAUUCCCGGUGUAGUGGUGAAAUGCGUAGAUAUCUGGAGGAACACCGGUGGCGAAGGCGGCAUCCUGGACCGGUAUUGACGCUGAGGCGCGAAAGCGUGGGGAGCGAACAGG
RNAcentral lists this ribosomal RNA (253 nucleotides) under uncultured bacterium. RNAcentral describes it as "partial 16S ribosomal RNA". It matches the Rfam family "Bacterial small subunit ribosomal RNA", at positions 524 to 776 of the family's 1533-position model. The record is from RNAcentral.